Molecule: long non-coding RNA, 388 nt
Organism: Oncorhynchus masou masou (cherry salmon)
Lineage: Eukaryota; Metazoa; Chordata; Actinopteri; Salmoniformes; Salmonidae
Exons: 3
Source: RefSeq, a predicted model, not a curated record
AGCUGGACUCUGAGUCAUGUGAUGCCCAGCAGUGUAAUGGACAUGGGAAAUGUGUGACAAGGGGUGGAGAAACCACCUGCCAGUGUGUUCUGGGAUACCAUGGUGUGUUCUGUGAGGAGGGUGAGGGUCCAGGGGUCAGUAAUGCCCCCCUCACUUUGGGCAUCCUCAGCCUCAUUGGUGGAGUCCUCAUCGCUGCUGUCAUCAUCAGGAAGAGCAGAGUAAGAGCUGCAGCUCGGGGCCAGUCCACAGACAAGGAGACUCUGAUGACCAAUAUGGAUGAACAGGCAGUCUACGCUCUGUCUUUCAACAACGAUCUGUAUGAUCCUGACCAGGAAUUUAUCUCGUCUGCUGAUGGGACAACUCAACAUCUGUAAAUGUUGCCUUUUCU